UGAAUACGAGAUGCUACGGCAUCGAAGCAGUCUAUGUCAUACUUCCAAGAAAAGCUUGCACUGUCAUAAACAAAUAAUGCCUGUACCAUAACCGACACAGGUGGGUAGGUAGAGUAUACUAAGGGGCGCGAGAUAACUCUCUCUAAGGAACUCGGCAAAAUGACUCCGUAACUUCGGGAGAAGGAGUGCCUUAUUUUAUAAGGUUGCAAUAACAAGAUCCAAGCAACUGUUUACCAAAAACACAGGUCUCCGCUAAGUCGUAAGACGAUGUAUGGGGGCUGACGCCUGCCCAGUGCCAGAAGGUUAAAGAAGUUGGUUAGCAUUAGCGAAGCUGAUAACUGAAGCCCUGGUGAACGGCGGCCGUAACUAUAACGGUCCUAAGGUAGCGAAUUUCCUUGUCGGGUAAGUUCCGACCCGCACGAAAGGCGUAAUGAUUUGGAUACUGUCUCGGAGAGGGGCUCGGUGAAAUAGACUUGUCUGUGAAGAUGCGGACUACCUGCACCAGGACAGAAAGACCCUAUGAAGCUUUACUGUAACUUGAGAUUGAAAUUGGACUUUAUUUGCGCAGUAUAGGUGGGAGACGUUGAAAAUAUUCUUGCGGGAAUAUUGGAGUCAUCAGUGAGAUACCACUCUUAUAAUGUUAGAUUUCUAACUUUGUAUCAUUAUCUGGUCAAAGAACAGUCUCAGGCGGGCAGUUUGGCUGGGGCGGUCGCCUCCCAAACGGUAACGGAGGCGCACAAAGGUUUCCUCUGAACGUGUAGAAAUCGUAUCUAGAGUGUAAAGGCAUAAGGAAGCUUGACUGUGAGACCUACAAGUCGAGCAGGGACGAAAGUCGGUCUUAGUGAUCUGACGGUGCUGAGUGGAAAGGCCGUCACUCAACGGAUAAAAGUUACUCUAAGGAUAACAGGCUGAUCUCCCCCAAGAGUUCACAUCGACGGGGAGGUUUGGCACCUCGAUGUCGGCUCAUCGCAUCCUGGGGCGGUAGUACGUCCCAAGGGUUGGGCUGUUCGCCCAUGAAAGCGGUACGCGAGCUGGGUUCAGAACGUCGUGAGACAGUUCGGUCCAUAUCCGGUGUAGGCGUUAGAAUAUUGAGAGGAGCCUUCUUUAGUACGAGAGGACCGAGAAGGACAUACCUCUGGUGUACCAGUUAUCGUGCCAACGGUAAACGCUGGGUAGCUAUGUAUGGAGAGGAUAACCGCUGAAAGCAUCUAAGUGGGAAGCCCACCUCAAGAUAAG
Molecule: ribosomal RNA, 1236 nt
Filed under: metagenome
Description: bacterial LSU rRNA
Rfam family: Bacterial large subunit ribosomal RNA
Source: RNAcentral